Molecule: unclassified non-coding RNA, 509 nt
Filed under: Hevea brasiliensis (rubber tree)
Lineage: Eukaryota; Viridiplantae; Streptophyta; Magnoliopsida; Malpighiales; Euphorbiaceae
Source: RNAcentral
GUCAAUUUUACUAUUCUUUUAGCAGUGUAAUGAAGAGCUUUGUCGAAUAAUCCUUUCUCGUCAUGUAGUGCCACAUCUAUCCAGAGGCGUAGUGGGUGUCGUUCAUGGGCGGGAUCAGUUGGCAGCACAGACCAACAUACCCAGCAAAUCAUCACAAGACACCGUACUCAUCUGGUUAAACGGGUUAGAUUAAAACUUUGCUACCCAGUGUCUACACUUUUGGAUCUUUCAUAAACUUCAUUUCAUUUUCCGAGUACCAUCUUUCAGAAGGCCAAAAAAGGCGCCGCCGCUCUUCCUCCAUACCCGCCCGCCUUUUACCAUCACUGCCCCAUCCUUUGGGUGAUUUUUAUCAAUUAACACACACACACACACACCCAGAGAUGCAAGUAUAUGAUAUAAGUAUUAAGCAUCAAUUCUAGCAACCAGUUUUAUGUGAUCAAAGCUACAAGAUGAUAUAUUAGAUUCCUGAUCACACACUGCAUAUUAAAGCCUUCUAAAUUUGAUUCACG